CCUACGGGAGGCUGCAGUGAGGAAUAUUGGUCAAUGGACGAGAGUCUGAACCAGCCAAGUAGCGUGAAGGAUGACUGCCCUACGGGUUGUAAACUUCUUUUAUAUGGGAAUAAAAUGUUCUACGUGUGCGUUUUUGUAUGUACCUUAUGAAUAAGGAUCGGCUAACUCCGUGCCAGCAGCCGCGGUAAUACGGAGGAUCCGAGCGUUAUCCGGAUUUAUUGGGUUUAAAGGGAGCGUAGUUGGGUUGUUAAGUCAGUUGUGAAAGUUUGCGGCUCAACCGUAAAAUUGCAAUUGAUACUGGCAGUCUUGAGUACAGUAGAGGUGGGCGGAAUUCGUGGUGUAGCGGUGAAAUGCUUAGAUAUCACGAAGAACGCCGAUUGCGAAGGCAGCUCACUGGACUGCAACUGACACUGAGGCUCGAAAGUGUGGGUAUCAAACAGGAUUAGAUACCCGGGUAGUC
RNAcentral lists this ribosomal RNA (460 nucleotides) under uncultured bacterium. Its description in RNAcentral is "partial 16S ribosomal RNA". It matches the Rfam family "Bacterial small subunit ribosomal RNA", at positions 338 to 795 of the family's 1533-position model. The record is from RNAcentral.